UUAAAGGAAGUUGACGGGGAGCACUACAACGGUGGAGCCUGCGGUUUAAUUGGAUCAACGCCGGAAAUCUCACCGGGGCGACAGCAAUAUGAAGGUCAGGCUGAAGACCUUACCCGAUUAGCUGAGAGGUGGUGCAUGGCCGUCGUCAGUUCGUACUGUGAAGCAUCCUGUUAAGUCAGGCAACGAGCGAGACCCACGUCCACAGUUGCCAGCAUACCCUCCGGGGUGAUGGGUACACUGUGGAGACCGCCGCUGCUAAAGCGGAGGAAGGAGUGGGCAACGGUAGGUCAGUAUGCCCCGAAUCUCCCGGGCUACACGCGGGCUACAAUGGUUGGUACAAUGGGCAUCUACCCCGAAAGGGGAAGGAAAUCUCUUAAAGCCAAUCGUAGUUCGGAUUGAGGGCUGCAACUCGCCCUCAUGAAGCUGGAAUCCGUAGUAAUCGCGUUUCAACAGAACGCGGUGAAUACGUCCCUGCUCCUU
This 480-nucleotide ribosomal RNA is filed under the name uncultured Methanosaeta sp. RNAcentral's name for it is "bacterial SSU rRNA". It matches the Rfam family "Archaeal small subunit ribosomal RNA", at positions 856 to 1338 of the family's 1478-position model. Lineage: Archaea; Methanobacteriati; Methanobacteriota; Methanomicrobia; Methanotrichales; Methanotrichaceae. The record is from RNAcentral.